GAUGAACGCUAGCUACAGGCUUAACACAUGCAAGUCGAGGGGAAACGCCAUCGAAAGCUUGCUUUUGAUGGGCGUCGACCGGCGCACGGGUGAGUAACGCGUAUCCAACCUGCCCACCACUUGGGGAUAACCUUGCGAAAGUAAGACUAAUACCCAAUGACGUCUCUAGAAGACAUCUGAAAGAGAUUAAAGAUUUAUCGGUGAUGGAUGGGGAUGCGUCUGAUUAGCUUGUUGGCGGGGUAACGGCCCACCAAGGCGACGAUCAGUAGGGGUUCUGAGAGGAAGGUCCCCCACAUUGGAACUGAGACACGGUCCAAACUCAUACGGGAGGCAGCAGUGAGGAAUAUUGGUCAAUGGACGAGAGUCUGAACCAGCCAAGUAGCGUGCAGGAUGACGGCCCUAUGGGUUGUAAACUGCUUGUAUAAGGGAAUAAAGUGAGUCUCGUGAGACUUUUUGCAUGUACCUUAUGAAUAAGGACCGGCUAAUUCCGUG
RNAcentral lists this ribosomal RNA (492 nucleotides) under uncultured bacterium. RNAcentral's name for it is "partial 16S ribosomal RNA". It matches the Rfam family "Bacterial small subunit ribosomal RNA", at positions 28 to 507 of the family's 1533-position model. The record is from RNAcentral.